UGGGGAAUAUUGCACAAUGGGCGAAAGCCUGAUGCAGCAACGCCGCGUGGGGGAUGACGGCCUUCGGGUUGUAAACCUCUUUUGGUAGGGAAGAAGCCGCAAGGUGACGGUACCUGCAGAAAAAGCACCGGCUAACUUCGUGCCAGCAGCCGCGGUAAUACGAAGGGUGCAAGCGUUAAUCGGAAUUACUGGGCGUAAAGGGUGCGUAGGCGGUUUGUUAAGUCUGUCGUGAAAUCCCCGGGCUCAACCUGGGAAUGGCGAUGGAUACUGGCAAGCUAGAGUGUGCCAGAGGAUGGUGGAAUUCCCGGUGUUGCGGUGAAAUGCGUAGAGAUCGGGAGGAACAUCAGUGGCGAAGGCGGCCAUCUGGGACAACACUGACGCUGAAGCACGAAAGCGUGGGGAGCAAACAGGAUUAGAUACCCC
RNAcentral lists this ribosomal RNA (423 nucleotides) under uncultured bacterium. Its description in RNAcentral is "bacterial SSU rRNA". It matches the Rfam family "Bacterial small subunit ribosomal RNA", at positions 355 to 788 of the family's 1533-position model. The record is from RNAcentral.